GGCGGGAGUGGACGUGAGGACGUCAAGUCCAUUACGAGCACGCUGUGACACCGACAGCGCGGGUUCGAUUCCCGUCACCCGCUUC
RNAcentral lists this transfer RNA (85 nucleotides) under Microbispora bryophytorum. RNAcentral describes it as "tRNA-Val". Lineage: Bacteria; Bacillati; Actinomycetota; Actinomycetes; Streptosporangiales; Streptosporangiaceae. The record is from RNAcentral.